CCCCUUAGAGUUUGAUCAUGGCUCAAGAUGAACGCUAGCGGGAGGCUUAAUACAUGCAAGUCGAGCGGCAAGGUCUUCGGACCCUAGAGCGGCGCACGGGUGAGUAACGCGUACGCAAUCUGCCCUUCAGUGAGGAAUAGCCCUGGGAAACUGGGAUUAAUACCUCAUAACAUUAUUUGUCUGCAUGGAUGAAUAAUUAAAGUUCUGGCGCUGAAGGAUGAGCGUGCGUCUGAUUAGCUAGUUGGUAGGGUAACGGCCUACCAAGGCUACGAUCAGUAGGGGGCGUGAGAGCGUGACCCCCCACACGGGUACUGAGACACGGACCCGACUCCUACGGGAGGCAGCAGUAAGGAAUAUUGGGCAAUGGAGGCAACUCUGACCCACCCAUCCCGCGUGAAGGAUUAAGGCCCUAUGGGUUGUAAACUUCUUUUGUUUGGGAAGAAAUCUGGACAUUUAUGUGCAGUUGACGGUACCUUACGAAUAAGCACCGGCUAACUCCGUGCCAGCAGCCGCGGUAAUACGGAGGGUGCAAGCGUUAUCCGGAAUCACUGGGUUUAAAGGGUGCGUAGGCGGUUUGAUAAGUCAGAGGUGAAAGCUAGCAGCUUAACUGUUAUAUUGCCUUUGAUACUGUCAGACUUGAAUCAAGUUGAGGUAGGCGGAAUGUGACAUGUAGCGGUGAAAUGCAUAGAUAUGUCAUAGAACACCAAUUGCGUACGCAGCUUGCUGGGCUUGAAUUGACGCUGACGCACGAAAGGCGUGGAGAUCAAACAAGGAUUAGAUACCCUGGUAGUCCACGCCCUAAACGAUGUUAACUCGAUAUUUAUUCUUCCAGGAGUGAGUGUCCAAGCGAAAGUCGUUAAGUCAGCACGUGGAGUAGUACGACCGCAAGAUGAAACUCAAGGAUAUUUGACGGCGUCCGCACAGGGAUUGACAUAACAUGGUUUUCAUUCGAUGAUACGCGAGCAUCCUUACUUAAGAGUCACUGA
RNAcentral lists this ribosomal RNA (986 nucleotides) under uncultured bacterium. RNAcentral describes it as "bacterial SSU rRNA". It matches the Rfam family "Bacterial small subunit ribosomal RNA", at positions 1 to 988 of the family's 1533-position model. The record is from RNAcentral.